CUUGGCUGCUACAGCACAGAUUCUUGUGCCCCUCCACCUCCCACCAGCACUGAGCAAUGCUACCAGUGACAGGAAACGCACUUGGCCUUCCAGACAAGUCAGAAGAAAUCAGUGAAGGAUCAAUCUACGCAAAGGCAUGCUCACAUCUCAAGAAAAAGUCACAUAUCUACCAUUCAUCUAUCACUAUAAACCAAAAGGCUGACUGAGCAACAGAAGACUUGAAUUUUCCAAUGAAAUCCUACACAAACAUCACCUGAUGUCCUAAGUCACCAGAAGGAUACAGGCAUGAUUUGAUUAUAGAAUUACUGGUCUACUUUCAGCACCUGCCCUGGUACUGAGCUGAGGAACUGGAGUCUGAAGCCAAGGAUAAUAUAUUAUUUUGGCCAUUGGACUUGUGUUUUCCUCUUCUUCCUGGCCUCACAAUGAAUGUGGCAAUGGUGCUCCAUGCCAUAAGAAGGAACUGCAGAUGAAGCUGCUCUGAGACACUUUUAGUUGGUACUCUGGCUAACCUGGAAAGUAGGAAUAAAAAAGUUUGCUCUUGGUUAUAUUUGUGCCCU
This 557-nucleotide long non-coding RNA is filed under the name Parus major (Great Tit). RNAcentral describes it as "lncRNA (ENSPMJG00000014746.1)". Lineage: Eukaryota; Metazoa; Chordata; Aves; Passeriformes; Paridae. The record is from RNAcentral.